CCCUUAGAUGUUCUGGGCAGCACGCGCGCUACAAUGGUCUUCGCAAACGGAUGCAUUCUCGAAGGAGAAUGCCAAUCUUGGAAUCUAUGCCUUGGUCGGGACAGUUGCUUGCAAUUUUUCGACUCGAACCAGGAAUUCCUUGUAAUCGUGAUUCAUCACAUCACGAUGAAUACGUCCCUGCCCUUUGUGCACACCGCCCGUCGCUCCUACCGAUCGAAGAGUUAGGUGAAUUGUUUUGAUCGAUAAGAUUUGACUAUGGUCAACUCUCGUUGUGAAAUUCUGUGAAUCCGACUGUUUAGAGGAAGGAAAAGUCGUAACA
Molecule: ribosomal RNA, 319 nt
Filed under: uncultured eukaryote
Lineage: Eukaryota
Description: partial 18S ribosomal RNA
Rfam family: Eukaryotic small subunit ribosomal RNA
Source: RNAcentral